This 497-nucleotide ribosomal RNA is filed under the name uncultured bacterium. RNAcentral's name for it is "partial 16S ribosomal RNA". It matches the Rfam family "Bacterial small subunit ribosomal RNA", at positions 28 to 507 of the family's 1533-position model. The record is from RNAcentral.
GAUGAACGCUGGCGGCGUGCCUAAUACAUGCAAGUCGAGCGAGCAGACGAGGAGCUUGCUCCUCUGACGUUAGCGGCGGACGGGUGAGUAACACGUGGAUAACCUACCUAUAAGACUGGGAUAACUUCGGGAAACCGGAGCUAAUACCGGAUAAUAUAUUGAACCGCAUGGUUCAAUAGUGAAAGACGGUUUUGCUGUCACUUAUAGAUGGAUCCGCGCCGCAUUAGCUAGUUGGUAAGGUAACGGCUUACCAAGGCAACGAUGCGUAGCCGACCUGAGAGGGUGAUCGGCCACACUGGAACUGAGACACGGUCCAGACUCCUACGGGAGGCAGCAGUAGGGAAUCUUCCGCAAUGGGCGAAAGCCUGACGGAGCAACGCCGCGUGAGUGAUGAGGGUCUUCGGAUCGUAAAACUCUGUUAUUAGGGAAGAACAAAUGUGUAAGUAACUAUGCACGUCUUGACGGUACCUAAUCAGAAAGCCACGGCUAACUACGUG